RNAcentral lists this ribosomal RNA (484 nucleotides) under uncultured bacterium. RNAcentral describes it as "partial 16S ribosomal RNA". It matches the Rfam family "Bacterial small subunit ribosomal RNA", at positions 30 to 507 of the family's 1533-position model. The record is from RNAcentral.
AUUGAACGCUGGCGGCAGGCCUAACACAUGCAAGUCGAGCGGAUGAAGGGAGCUUGCUCCUGGAUUCAGCGGCGGACGGGUGAGUAAUGCCUAGGAAUCUGCCUGGUAGUGGGGGAUAACGUCCGGAAACGGGCGCUAAUACCGCAUACGUCCUGAGGGAGAAAGUGGGGGAUCUUCGGACCUCACGCUAUCAGAUGAGCCUAGGUCGGAUUAGCUAGUUGGUGGGGUAAAGGCCUACCAAGGCGACGAUCCGUAACUGGUCUGAGAGGAUGAUCAGUCACACUGGAACUGAGACACGGUCCAGACUCCUACGGGAGGCAGCAGUGGGGAAUAUUGGAUAAUGGGCGAAAGCCUGAUCCAGCCAUGCCGCGUGUGUGAAGAAGGUCUUCGGAUUGUAAAGCACUUUAAGUUGGGAGGAAGGGCAGUAAGUUAGUACCUUGCUGUUUUGACGUUACCAACAGAAUAAGCACCGGCUAACUUCGUG